Molecule: ribosomal RNA, 388 nt
Filed under: Salmonella enterica subsp. enterica serovar Singapore
Lineage: Bacteria; Pseudomonadati; Pseudomonadota; Gammaproteobacteria; Enterobacterales; Enterobacteriaceae
Description: bacterial SSU rRNA
Rfam family: Bacterial small subunit ribosomal RNA
Source: RNAcentral
CUUUGUUGCCAGCGAUUAGGUCGGGAACUCAAAGGAGACUGCCAGUGAUAAACUGGAGGAAGGUGGGGAUGACGUCAAGUCAUCAUGGCCCUUACGACCAGGGCUACACACGUGCUACAAUGGCGCAUACAAAGAGAAGCGACCUCGCGAGAGCAAGCGGACCUCAUAAAGUGCGUCGUAGUCCGGAUUGGAGUCUGCAACUCGACUCCAUGAAGUCGGAAUCGCUAGUAAUCGUGGAUCAGAAUGCCACGGUGAAUACGUUCCCGGGCCUUGUACACACCGCCCGUCACACCAUGGGAGUGGGUUGCAAAAGAAGUAGGUAGCUUAACCUUCGGGAGGGCGCUUACCACUUUGUGAUUCAUGACUGGGGUGAAGUCGUAACAAGGUA